This is a non-coding RNA of Parelaphostrongylus tenuis, 73 nucleotides long. The record is from the annotation of a GenBank genome assembly. NCBI's taxonomy places the organism in Eukaryota, Metazoa, Nematoda, Chromadorea, Rhabditida, Metastrongylidae.
GCCUCGGUGGUGUAAUGGUAGUAGCACGCGUCCCGGUAUGGACAAAACGCGGGUUAGAUUCCCGCCUGAAGUC